This 497-nucleotide ribosomal RNA is filed under the name uncultured bacterium. RNAcentral's name for it is "SSU rRNA". It matches the Rfam family "Bacterial small subunit ribosomal RNA", at positions 26 to 518 of the family's 1533-position model. The record is from RNAcentral.
AGGACGAACGCUGGCGGCGUGCUUAACACAUGCAAGUCGAGCGGUAAGGCCCCUUCGGGGGUACACGAGCGGCGAACGGGUGAGUAACACGUGAGUAAUCUGCCCUUCACCUCGGGAUAACCGCCGGAAACGGCGGCUAAUACCGGAUACGACCAGCCCUCGCAUGAGAUGCUGGUGGAAAGUCUUGUCGGUGAAGGAUGUGCUCGCGGCCUAUCAGCUUGUUGGUGGGGUAAUGGCCCACCAAGGCUUCGACGGGUAGCCGGCCUGAGAGGGUGACCGGCCACACUGGGACUGGGACACGGUCCAGACUCCUACGGGAGGCAGCAGUGGGGAAUCUUGCGCAAUGGACGAAAGUCUGACGCAGCGACGCCGCGUGGGUGAUGAAGGCCUUCGGGUUGUAAAGCCUGUGGGGAGGGACGGAAUAAGUUGCGGCUAAUACCCGCAGCGAUGACGGUACCUCCUUAGCAAGCACCGGCUAACUCUGUGCCAGCAGCCGC